AUACGGAGGGGACUAGCGUUGUUCGGAAUUACUGGGCGUAAAGCGUACGUAGGCGGAUCAGAAAGUAUGGGGUGAAAUCCCAGGGCUCAACCCUGGAACUGCCUCAUAAACUCCUGUUCUUGAGUUCGAGAGAGGUGAGUGGAAUUCCGAGUGUAGAGGUGAAAUUCGUAGAUAUUCGGAGGAACAUCGGUGGCGAAGGCGGCUCACUGGCUCGAUACUGACGCUGAGGUACGAAAGUGUGGGGAGCAAACAGGAUUAGAAACCCUAGUAGUCC
Molecule: ribosomal RNA, 274 nt
Filed under: uncultured bacterium
Lineage: Bacteria
Description: partial 16S ribosomal RNA
Rfam family: Bacterial small subunit ribosomal RNA
Source: RNAcentral